This 135-nucleotide ribosomal RNA is filed under the name Escherichia coli. RNAcentral's name for it is "partial 16S ribosomal RNA". The stretch from base 18 to 135 matches the Rfam family "Bacterial small subunit ribosomal RNA", at positions 1 to 111 of the family's 1533-position model. Lineage: Bacteria; Pseudomonadati; Pseudomonadota; Gammaproteobacteria; Enterobacterales; Enterobacteriaceae. The record is from RNAcentral.
UUGAGCAUCAAACUUUUAAAUUGAAGAGUUUGAUCAUGGCUCAGAUUGAACGCUGGCGGCAGGCCUAACACAUGCAAGUCGAACGGUAACAGGAAACAGCUUGCUGUUUCGCUGACGAGUGGCGGACGGGUGAGU